This 1525-nucleotide long non-coding RNA is filed under the name Triticum aestivum (bread wheat). RNAcentral describes it as "long non-coding RNA (TAES_LNC023008)". Lineage: Eukaryota; Viridiplantae; Streptophyta; Magnoliopsida; Poales; Poaceae. The record is from RNAcentral.
CGGCGACGGGACGCCAGAUCGGAGCGUGUAUGCGAUGGAUUGGCGCUAUUAUUUUAUUUCCUUGUUGCGCCGCCGCCGUGUGUGAUUGAUUGGUUGCUUUCGCUGCCGCAGCCAUGGGAGACGUACACCGCGGACACGUCGAUCGAUCUGACCAAGCACCACGUGCCCAACACGAUGCUCGACAAGAUCGCCUACUACACCGUCAAGUCCCUGCGCUUCCCCACCGACAUCUUCUUCCAGGUACGCGCGCCUCCCCCCUCCCCUCCCCUAGUCCCCUCGCCGGCCGCCACAACCGCCGGAUAGUUCGUUCCGUGUGUUUUUAGUCCAACCCGUUUCGCCGAAGACAGCACGAACGGCGGUGUCUGCAUCUUUGCGUGUCAUGGCCUCCUGACUGACGGAAGUAGCAUGGUCCCUAUCACGCUUUUGAUUCUGUUUUCCCCCUGCUUUCCGGGGAGACGGCGUUUGGACUUUCUAUUUAGAACGCGGACCCAAGCGGUCAAGCGGAGUAUUUUUACCUAAUCGUUCGUGGAGAUGGGUGUUUUAUAUUCAGUUUUGCAUCAGAUUACUGUGGAUAAUCGUACUGACAUUUCCGUGCUGAUUAUUUCUAUCUGGAUACAAGUAGGCGACAGUGGAUAGAUGUAUCCACAGAUUAUUUACUGUCAGCAAACAUUACGAAUUGAAAACACAAAUAACAUGGUGACCUUGACAUGACCUUAACAUAGGAUAUUUUAUAUUGUUGUAAAGCACCAGAGAGGAUUCCAUUUGUUUUGCCAUGUACUGUACUUUAUUAAAGCAUCUGUUUAUCAUGAUUUUUGCACAAGUUGUAUCAUCUUGAUCUCCUCUCUGUGUUUCGAAGUUUAUCAUGUUCUAAAGCCGAUCCUUCAAAUUGGUUGCAGAGGAGGUAUGGCUGCCGCGCAAUGAUGCUGGAGACUGUUGCCGCAGUGCCGGGGAUGGUGGGCGGCAUGCUCCUCCACCUGCGCUCGCUCCGGCGCUUUGAGCAGAGCGGUGGUUGGAUCCGCGCGCUGCUGGAGGAGGCCGAGAACGAGCGCAUGCACCUCAUGACCUUCAUGGAGGUGGCGCAGCCGAGGUGGUACGAGCGCGCCCUCGUCAUCGCCGUCCAGGGCGUCUUCUUCAACGCCUACUUCUUCGGCUACCUCAUCUCGCCCAAGUUCGCGCACCGCGUCGUCGGGUACCUCGAGGAGGAAGCCGUCCACUCCUACACCGAGUUCCUCAAGGACCUUGACGACGGCAAGAUCGACAACGUCCCCGCCCCGGCCAUCGCCAUCGACUACUGGCGCCUCCCUGCCAACGCCACCCUCAAGGACGUGGUCACCGUGGUGCGCGCCGACGAGGCUCACCACCGCGACGUCAACCACUUCGCAUCGGUACGCAUCCUUCCAAAUCCCACAAGAUCAGCAAGGCAAUCUUGACCCCAUUUCCUGCCCAGCCCAUGUGCAUCUGUUUAUGUGGAUUGGUUCGGAACUUCUGAUGAUGUAUAUGCUGAUUUGGUCUGUUGCAUGUGCCG